This 255-nucleotide ribosomal RNA is filed under the name uncultured bacterium. Its description in RNAcentral is "partial 16S ribosomal RNA". It matches the Rfam family "Bacterial small subunit ribosomal RNA", at positions 524 to 776 of the family's 1533-position model. The record is from RNAcentral.
UACGAAGGGGGCUAGCGUUGCUCGGAAUCACUGGGCGUAAAGGGUGCGUAGGCGGGUCUUUAAGUCAGGGGGUGAAAUCCUGGAGCUCAACUCCAGAACUGCCUUUGAUACUGAAGAUCUUGAGUUCGGGGAGAGGUGAGUGGAACUGCGAGUGUAGAGGUGAAAUUCGUAGAUAUUCGCAAGAACACCAGUGGCGAAGGCGGCUCACUGGCCCGAUACUGACGCUGAGGCACGAAAGCGUGGGGAGCAAACAGG